GAUGAAGAACGCAGCGAAAUGCGAUACUUGGUGUGAAUUGCAGAAUCCCGUGAACCAUCGAGUCUUUGAACGCAAGUUGCGCCCGAAGCCGUCAGGCCGAGGGCACGCCUGCCUGGGCGUCACACGCCGUUGCCCCCCCGCGCCCCGCACCCAACUCUUUGGGAGCGACCGCGGGGCGGGCUGAUGAUGGCCUCCCGUGCGCUCCGCCGCGCGGUUGGCCCAAAUACCGAGUCCCCGGCGACGUGCGCCACGACGAUCGGUGCUUGAGAGACCUCUGUCGCAAGUCGUGCGCGCCCGUCGCGUCACGCGGGCUCGCAUAGCGCCUCGCGCCGCACCCGGUGCGGAGCUUUCAACGCGACCCCAGGUCAGGCGGGGUUACCCGCUGAAUUUAAGCAUAUCAAUAAGCGGAGGA
RNAcentral lists this unclassified non-coding RNA (412 nucleotides) under soil metagenome. Its description in RNAcentral is "partial contains 5.8S ribosomal RNA, internal transcribed spacer 2, and large subunit ribosomal RNA". The stretch from base 1 to 122 matches the Rfam family "5.8S ribosomal RNA", at positions 35 to 154 of the family's 154-position model. The record is from RNAcentral.